UCCCUAGCUGGUCUGAGAGGAUGACCAGCCACACUGGAACUGAGACACGGUCCAGACUCCUACGGGAGGCAGCAGUGGGGAAUAUUGCACAAUGGGCGCAAGCCUGAUGCAGCCAUGCCGCGUGUGUGAAGAAGGCCUUCGGGUUGUAAAGCACUUUCAGCGAGGAGGAAGGCGGUAAGGUUAAUAACCUUAUCGAUUGACGUUACUCGCAGAAGAAGCACCGGCUAACUCCGUGCCAGCAGCCGCGGUAAUACGGAGGGUGCAAGCGUUAAUCGGAAUGACUGGGCGUAAAGCGCACGCAGGCGGUCUGUUAAGUUGGAUGUGAAAUCCCCGGGCUUAACCUGGGAACUGCAUUCAAAACUGACAGGCUAGAGUCUUGUAGAGGGGGGUAGAAUUCCAGGUGUAGCGGUGAAAUGCGUAGAGAUCUGGAGGAAUACCGGUGGCGAAGAAA
This 451-nucleotide ribosomal RNA is filed under the name Pectobacterium carotovorum subsp. carotovorum. RNAcentral's name for it is "bacterial SSU rRNA". It matches the Rfam family "Bacterial small subunit ribosomal RNA", at positions 280 to 723 of the family's 1533-position model. The record is from RNAcentral. Lineage: Bacteria; Pseudomonadati; Pseudomonadota; Gammaproteobacteria; Enterobacterales; Pectobacteriaceae.